This is a long non-coding RNA of Capsicum annuum, 669 nucleotides long. RefSeq lists it as uncharacterized. NCBI's taxonomy places the organism in Eukaryota, Viridiplantae, Streptophyta, Magnoliopsida, Solanales, Solanaceae. The transcript has 3 exons. The record is from RefSeq and is a predicted model, not a curated record.
AUUUCUGCCACUUGGACAUGCAAAUGUUGCGAUGUCUCAACCUUCUCAAAUCCAAUUUCCUCAUCCUAUGCAACAGGUUACUGGUAGACCUGUAGUAGGAAUGCAUAGUAUGCCUCAGGGACCACCUAUUCCCCAUGAUUUUCAGCGAAAUCUUCCGAUGUCAAAUAACCACAUGCCUGGUUCUGGUGGCCCAAAUUUACCUCUUUCUUCUUCAUAUAAUCAGGUAAAUGCAGAUUCUUCUGGCUCCAGUAUCAAACACAGAUAAAUGAUCAUAGGUUUCCAUCAGGGUUGUAACCCUGGAUGCCAAUAAGUAAUCAUAAUGUGAAUUCUGCAACAACUAUGUAGAAUUAACAGCUCCCUUGGUUGUUCCGGAAGCAAAUUACGUAGUUGAGACUGUUCAGUCAGAUUGGAUUGAGCAUACUACUCGAAAGGGGAAAAAGUAUGUGAUUCCCUUUUUUGAAUUGUCAACAAGUAACAUGCUUAAGUUAAUGGGUUAAUGGGUGUGUGUUGACUGAGAGAGUCAACAUUUGAAUUCUAUGAUAGUUUUUUGCAAGCAAAUUAAGAUUCCGGUGAACAAAAAAGGUGUAAAACCGCGGUAUACAAGAAAAGGAGCUUUGCAAAAAUAUCAUUUUCAUUCAGAUCCAAUCUUUUUACCACUUUGUGUUCUCC